CCAGGCGCCCCCCACCUUAUUUUUUUGUGAAGAACAUGAAAUGACAGUGAACUUGCCAAGGCAUGGCUAGCGAUUUCAUGAUAUGUAGGUGGAGGAGGGAGAGGACAGUGAACAGCAGAGUACCUCUCCUUGAGGUGCAGGAAGAGCCAGCAUCUGCUGUCCGGAGACCAUCUCUCACUGCUCCAAGUGAAGGUGGGUCGAGGAAGCCAUGAGGGAAAAGCCCCACUUGGGGACACCACAGGCUCCUUCCCCUCUUCCAUGUUAUAUGCUGUGGGAGGCUAAGAAGUAGAUGAGCUCUGCUGUCUGUAGCUUCCCGAAGAACCAGAAUAAAACCCAACCAAACAAAACCCCCUCAAGAAAAAGCAUUUGAGAGAAUCUCCUUAACUCUGGACCUGCAGGUGGUGGUUUUGGAUCACGAUCACUGUUGCAUCGCUCCUGGAAAAGCCUCCAUCUUGCUCGGUUUUCUUCAAGAUUAAUGCCUGAUUUUCCUGAAGGAGAUGGCGAAAGAAAGCCCUAAGGGAACGUGAGUUCUAAGGAGCACACGACACAUCAGAGACAUCCAGUUGCAUAUUCUCGUCUUCCGUGUUCUUUUUUAAGCCUCUGGAGGAACUGAGUGGACAGGAGGGAGAAGGAAUUUGUUUCUGGAGGAAAUCAUGGAAGGCUGAAUGGACUGCGCCUAGUGCUAGGGGAAGAUGAACCGGCAUGUUCUUUGUUACACAGCAGCCUACCCACCCAGGGGAGCGAAGCACAUGAGUUUUCAAAACCCAAGUCCUUUCAAUCGGCUGAUGGUGGAGUUGGGGAAAAUGGAUUGGGAGAAGCUGCGUAACCAUUCAGUGUGGGAUUGCAACACCUGGAACAUUCACCACAUUCUCCGUAAUAAGACUCCUGGUCUCAUGGAGAAAACUGGCCCCAAACGAUGGGGCAGGGGCUGAAAUAGGUUCUUACUGGCAUUUACCCUACGUCCUUUGACUUGUUUUGGCUGUUUCCUGUGUCUUGGCCGUGGCUGUGUUUGGAGUGGUGUGGAAAAGGGCCUUCAUUCCAGGCUUGUCAGAGUGCUAAUAAGCUUUCCUGUGUCAUCACCUCUCCGAGCCUCUACCUUUAGGACAACCGACAACGUCCCCUGAUCAUCAUCUGUAGAUCAUGGUUUGGGAAAUGCUGCCAUGCAGUGUAAUGUACCAAUUCCAGGGGAGGUGAGAGAAGAGAAAGUUAAGAUCUUCUUCCUGGUGAGAGAGAUGGAAAAGUUCAGUGAGACUGAAGACAUUCCCUCCCAUACAUGGCAGUGGAGUCGGAGGUUGUGAACUUAGAUCUCUCUUAGCAGUUCGUGGUGGGGAGAGAGCAUGUGCCUGCCCCAGGGUGAAGGGAACAAAGUUUCCUUGUGGUCCUGUAGUGCGCAGCGGGCCAACCCAGCGAAUCUUCUUCCUGAACCUCGGGGAUUCUGGGCAAGCUGUGGGAAGGGUGUCCUUCACAGACAAGGGUUAAGCCCUUCUAGAAGUGUGGGGCUUGUAGUGGGAUGAGUGGGCUACCCUGUUCCUCUCCCACUCUUGCAUCCAAAUGUGAACUUAUUUGGAAAUAGCGUUUGCAGGAGUAUUAGGUUAAGCGGCCCAAUGGGAGAACACCUUGGGUUAUCUGGGCUGGCACUAAAUCCAAUGAUAAGCUUCCUUACUAGGGAAAAGGCAGAGGGAGAUUUGAGACAGACAAGACCGCAAGCCAAGGAACUCCUGGAGGGAUCAGAAGCUGGAGGAGGCAGGGAAAGCCUUUUCCCUGGCGUCUUUGGUGGAAGUGCAACCCUGCUGACCUCUUGCUUUGAGACGUCUGGCUUCCAGAACUGUGAGGGAAUAAUUUCCUGUUGUUUUGAGCCACCGUGUUUGUGGUUCUGUGUUAUGGCAGCCCCAGGAAACCGAGACAGGGGUGUAGGAGGAGAGAUGGAAACAGAGAGGUAGGUGAGAAGUUAGAAGAUGAGAGCUGGUAAGUUCAAACAGCAGGGGUCAUCCUGAGAGUCCUCUGGAAAGUAGAGCUUCCAGAGCUUUCUUGUGGCACAUGGAGGUCACACUGGUCCCGCCAACAAGCUCAGGGCCAACCGCUGUGGCAGAAUUGGAGGAAUGGUAUCUGUGGGUUGCUUGGAGAGCAUGGCCACCACAGGAGGACAAGGAGGAUGUUCUGCCUGGCUGAGGGUUUGAAUUAGGGUAUCACUGGGGGGAGUCCUAAAAGGUGGCUUGGCAAAGGAAUGAAAUAAAUUUCUUCUGUCUUGGAGAGCUCACUGAUCAAGCCCCAAGGGCAAGGCCUCCGGUAUC
Molecule: long non-coding RNA, 2291 nt
Organism: Neogale vison (American mink)
Lineage: Eukaryota; Metazoa; Chordata; Mammalia; Carnivora; Mustelidae
Exons: 5
Source: RefSeq, a predicted model, not a curated record